CCCUUAAGUUUGAUCCUGGCUCAGAUGAACGCUAGCUACAGGCUUAACACAUGCAAGUCGAGGGGAAACGAUAGAGAAAGCUUGCUUUUUCUAGGCGUCGACCGGCGCACGGGUGAGUAACGCGUAUCCAACCUGCCCACCACUUGGGGAUAACCUUGCGAAAGUAAGACUAAUACCCAAUGAUAUCUCAAGAAGACAUCUGAAUGAGAUUAAAGAUUUAUCGGUGAUGGAUGGGGAUGCGUCUGAUUAGCUUGUUGGCGGGGUAACGGCCCACCAAGGCGACGAUCAGUAGGGGUUCUGAGAGGAAGGUCCCCCACAUUGGAACUGAGACACGGUCCAAACUCCUACGGGAGGCAGCAGUGAGGAAUAUUGGUCAAUGGGCGAGAGCCUGAACCAGCCAAGUAGCGUGCAGGAUGACGGCCCUAUGGGUUGUAAACUGCUUUUAUAAGGGAAUAAAGUGAGUCUCGUGAGGCUUUUUGCAUGUACCUUAUGAAUAAGGACCGGCUAAUUCCGUGCCAGCAGCCGCGGUAAUACGGAAGGUCCGGGCGUUAUCCGGAUUUAUUGGGUUUAAAGGGAGCGUAGGCCGGAGAUUAAGCGUGUUGUGAAAUGUAGACGCUCAACGUCUGCACUGCAGCGCGAACUGGUUUCCUUGAGUACGCACAAAGUGGGCGGAAUUCGUGGUGUAGCGGUGAAAUGCUUAGAUAUCACGAAGAACUCCGAUUGCGAAGGCAGCUCACUGGAGCGCAACUGACGCUGAAGCUCGAAAGUGCGGGUAUCGAACAGGAUUAGAUACCCUGGUAGUCCGCACGGUAAACGAUGGAUGCCCGCUGUUGGUCUGAAUAGGUCAGCGGCCAAGCGAAAGCAUUAAGCAUCCCACCUGGGGAGUACGCCGGCAACGGUGAAACUCAAAGGAAUUGACGG
RNAcentral lists this ribosomal RNA (921 nucleotides) under uncultured bacterium. Its description in RNAcentral is "bacterial SSU rRNA". It matches the Rfam family "Bacterial small subunit ribosomal RNA", at positions 1 to 916 of the family's 1533-position model. The record is from RNAcentral.